Molecule: long non-coding RNA, 1838 nt
Organism: Plodia interpunctella (Indianmeal moth)
Lineage: Eukaryota; Metazoa; Arthropoda; Insecta; Lepidoptera; Pyralidae
Exons: 3
Source: RefSeq, a predicted model, not a curated record
GUAGAUCGUCUGUCGUGUCGACACUUACUAAGCAUUGAUCGCUGCCCUGUGCUGUGCAGUCGUAUCUGCUUAGUAAGGAGGCGUCACGCAUUUCACAGAUUUGUUUAACGAUGUUAAACUGGCCAGCAUGUAGCGUGCGCCGACUCCCGCUCGCCCGGACGGCCGGCCGCGUCGGUGAGGCUCGCGCACAUUCCCUGCUAGGCCUUGCAAUACGCGUGUUGUUGUUAGUAGCUAAACACCGGGUUUAGAAGUCGUGAACACUUCCAUAUGUAGGCGCUGACCAAAAUCAGAUGCCAGUUUUUUGCGAGGAACGCAUCGCAUAUUGACGAAACUUAAAUUCUAAGAUGCAGUGUCACAAUGUCAACUGAUUGGAAAACCGUCCAUGUAUGUAGUAGCGAUAUCGACAGUUCGCGGAUACCUGCAAAUGACAUCGAGCCAGCGAUAUCAAUUACACAGGUGUUCAUUACGGAAGUCAACAUUAGAGCAAUCACAGAGACUAUAUCAACAGAACUUGAUCUUCGUGGAUAUUAAAUUCAAUUUCAUUAGGUAGACAAUCGGUUAUAAGCGUCAUUAAAAAAACGGUUUAUGUGGUUGCCUAUACUCAUCAACGACAGAUACGAGAGCGAAAGCAAUGAAGGAUAUGAUAAAAAUAAGCAAAAGCAGUAAAAUAAGCAUAGUAGUCUAUAUGACUCAUUAUACAUGGAAUAGUCGACAACUGAAAUCUCUUCGAAAUUACUCUACUCGCACAAAUUGCGCGGGGACCGAGUGAAUUGCAUCCGCCCAAGAACAAUGACGCUUUUGCCUCGAGGACAAAAGAAAAAAAUCCUCAUCAUUUUACCCUUCGUUAUAGAGACCACGUAGCAAAACGAGAAUCAGAAACGUAAAUUCAGUAAGAUAAUGUACUUUAGGCCGAAGUCCCUUUUACGGGAAACAAAUGAAAAAUGUCCAACUGACAGAAUGUACCUACUGGAAUUUUUCAAACAGAAGACUGAAGCAAUUAUGAGCACAAAUGUUUCGAAACGUUAAGAAGACGGGGAUUGAUGACCUAAUUUCAUUUAGACGCAGGACUCCUGUGUCUAAAACAUACAAAAUGACUAAUGUGACAGGAAUCAUUUUGUAUGUUACUAAAUUACUAAUUUUAUUCAUAUUCUUUAUCAUGUCAUUGUUUUAAUUUUAAUAAUUAACUUUUACAGUUCUUAAUUAUUUGUAGUGGUAGUGGUAGCCCUAUUUUAUUAUUUUUUAUUUAUAUAUUUUAGCAGCUUAUUUAGCUGAGUAUGUGUUUUGUGGUUUGCAGAUUUUAUGUUUUCUGUUAUUAUAACUGUGAAACCUAUGAAAUAUUAGUAUUUCGAUUUUAUAUGAUCCAGUUUUUGUUAUUUUCAAGGUAGUCAUAUAAUAAAAUAUGUAAGCAAGUAUGGUAUACAUGUACUUAUUAUAUUCACGGUUCUAUAGCCGUGAAUUAAUGUUUUUAUAUCAGUUGAAUUGACGUACCAGUUUAAUUCCAAAUCUAUGUUCAAAAUGCGUGCCCCUUUGAUUCGUUUAAAAUUAUUGUUUCUAAUUUCACUUCGUCAAACCUUAUUGGCCUAAACUUACAACGCUCAAUUAUUAUCUAGUCUAAUAGAUUCUUCUGCAUUUUUAAAAUUUAGCCUUAUAAUUGUUAACUACAAUUUUAGAAUCUCAACUGUAAGACAUCCAAAAAUCGUUUGUAAUUUAUUUCGUUAGACUUAACAGUAACCGAGUUUAAUAAUAUUCGAGACAAUAUUCUCAUAUCAAAUGUAUGUAUGUAAAAAAAUAUAAUUUCGAAAUGUACUACAACAGGUUAAAAUCUCAAGUCGGAUACC